Molecule: ribosomal RNA, 458 nt
Filed under: uncultured bacterium
Lineage: Bacteria
Description: partial 16S ribosomal RNA
Rfam family: Bacterial small subunit ribosomal RNA
Source: RNAcentral
CCUACGGGUGGCAGCAGUGAGGAAUAUUGGUCAAUGGGCGAGAGCCUGAACCAGCCAAGUCGCGUGAGGGAGUACUGCCCUAUGGGUUGUAAACCUCUUUUGUCGGGGAGCAAAAGCCGGACGUGUCCGGCUGUGAGAGUACCCGAAGGAAAAGCAUCGGCUAACUCCGUGCCAGCAGCCGCGGUAAUACGGAGGAUGCGAGCGUUAUCCGGAUUUAUUGGGUUUAAAGGGUGCGCAGGCGGAUUUUUAAGUCAGCGGUAAAAUCGUGGGGCUCAACCCCAUCCAGCCGUUGAAACUGGGGAUCUAGAGUGUGCGAGAGGUAUGCGGAAUGCGUGGUGUAGCGGUGAAAUGCAUAGAUAUCACGCAGAACCCCGAUUGCGAAGGCAGCAUACCGGUGCACAACUGACGCUCAGGCACGAAAGCGUGGGUAUCGAACAGGAUUAGAUACCCCUGUAGUC